UACAGAGGAGCCAAGCGUUGUCCGGAUUGACUGGGCGUAAAGCGCACGCAGGCGGGGGUGCGCGUGGGGUGUGAAAUCUGGCCGCUUAACGGCCAGGCGCCAUCCCAUACGGCACGCCUGGAGCCUUGCAGAGAUCGGUGGAAUUGCCGGUGUAGUGGUGAAAUGCGUAGAGAUCGGCAGGAACACCCAGGGGAAAACCAGCCGACUGGGCAAGUGCUGACGCUGAGGUGCGAGAGCGUGGGGAGCGAACCGG
This 253-nucleotide ribosomal RNA is filed under the name uncultured bacterium. RNAcentral's name for it is "partial 16S ribosomal RNA". It matches the Rfam family "Bacterial small subunit ribosomal RNA", at positions 524 to 776 of the family's 1533-position model. The record is from RNAcentral.